UUUCCGUAGGUGAACCUGCGGAAGGAUCAUUCAUAAUAAAGUGUUUUAUGGCACUUUUUAAAAAUCCAUAUCCACCUUGUGUGCAAUGUUAGAUCUCGUCAAUCUUGGCGAGAUUUUUAUACAGCAACUCAUUCUUUAACUAAUUUGUCUGAAAAAUAUUAUGAAUACUUAAUUCAAAAUACAACUUUCAACAACGGAUCUCUUGGCACUCGCAUCGAUGAAGAACCAGC
RNAcentral lists this unclassified non-coding RNA (230 nucleotides) under plant metagenome. RNAcentral describes it as "partial contains small subunit ribosomal RNA, internal transcribed spacer 1, and 5.8S ribosomal RNA". The record is from RNAcentral.